UAGCAUUCCAUGUAGACUUUUGGCACUGCAUGGUCGAAACCAAAACAACACCAAUUGUCGUUCACACAUGGCGUGGGAAGCCUUUUAGGGGCAAAUAGAGACCGGUGAUGCCUCGUACCCGCGAGGUAUUCAAAUGACCGUGAGAACGAACGUCAUGCCAUCCAUCCAACAACCCAAGAUCAUCGAAGAAAUCGG
RNAcentral lists this unclassified non-coding RNA (195 nucleotides) under Hemiboea purpureotincta. Its description in RNAcentral is "partial external transcribed spacer". The record is from RNAcentral. Lineage: Eukaryota; Viridiplantae; Streptophyta; Magnoliopsida; Lamiales; Gesneriaceae.